RNAcentral lists this ribosomal RNA (119 nucleotides) under Spermophilus dauricus (Daurian ground squirrel). The record is from RNAcentral. Lineage: Eukaryota; Metazoa; Chordata; Mammalia; Rodentia; Sciuridae.
GUCUAUGGGCCUACCACCCUGAACGCGCUGGAUCUUGUCUGAUCUCGGAAGCUAAGCAGGGUCGGGCCUGGUUAGUAUUUGCAUGGGAUUCCGCCUGGGAAUACGGGGUGCUGUAGGCU